Non-coding RNA from Phascolarctos cinereus (koala), 383 nucleotides. NCBI's taxonomy places the organism in Eukaryota, Metazoa, Chordata, Mammalia, Diprotodontia, Phascolarctidae. The record is from RefSeq and is a predicted model, not a curated record.
AUCGCAGGGGAAGGCACUAGAAUUAGAGACUGGGGAAGGCCUUGGGUAGGAGAAGUGAUCUUAAUUAGGGCUUGAAGGAAGCCAGGGAAGCCUGGAGGCAGAGAUGAGGAGGGACAGUCAAGGAAAAUGCCAGAGCUGGAAGGGGAAGGGACACACCAGGAACAAGGAGGCUGAGUGGAAGAAAAAGGCAUUAUCCUGCAUUGGAGAGAGGAAGGACCUUCAUCAGGAAGUUUUGUACCUCACUGAAGCCACAGGUGUAGCCCCCAAACCAUCCCCAGUAACAGCCGAUUGAGCAUCAGACCCUGGCCAAGUCACUUUCCCUGUCUGGUCUCAGUUUCCUCAUCUAUGAAACAAGAUGGGUUGGAUAAAAUUAAUUCUAAGUU